RNAcentral lists this ribosomal RNA (155 nucleotides) under Contracaecum osculatum. RNAcentral's name for it is "5.8S ribosomal RNA". It matches the Rfam family "5.8S ribosomal RNA". Rfam says of the family: 5.8S ribosomal RNA (5.8S rRNA) is a component of the large subunit of the eukaryotic ribosome. It is transcribed by RNA polymerase I as part of the 45S precursor that also contains 18S and 28S rRNA. Functionally, it is thought that 5.8S rRNA may be involved in ribosome translocation. Lineage: Eukaryota; Metazoa; Nematoda; Chromadorea; Rhabditida; Anisakidae. The record is from RNAcentral.
CAAAUCUUGGCGGUGGAUCACUCGGUUCGUGGAUCGAUGAAGAACGCAGCCAGCUGCGAUAAAUAGUGCGAAUUGCAGACACAUUGAGCACUAAAAUUUCGAACGCACAUUGCGCCAUCGGGUUCAUUCCCGCUGGCACGUCUGGCUGAGGGUCG